CUGCCUAUGGAACACCCCCUAGCUAGCUAGCCCUGCUCUGCCUCUGCGUCAAUAAUUGGUGGAUUUGGCAUUCCAUUGGACCAGUGGUUUGGAAUGCCAGGAAAGACAUGUACUUUUCCGGUGUACUGCAUGAUCCAUGAUACACAUUGGUGUGGUGGCCUGGGCUCACCGGCUGCUGGCCGCCCGGCUCCUCCUCCUCCUAGCUGUAGCAAAUAUGGGCACUGCUCCUAUCCUGGGACCGUUCGUGUUUUGUCAGGCCUAUCCAGAAGAAACAUCGCAAUCCAGACUAGCCUAUGCAUGCCUACACUGUGUAGUAUACUUGCUUUGCUCGAUAUUAUAGGUUUAUUUGUUUGUCAUAUUGCUCCAAUGCUCCUAGCCUAGUGGAGAUAUAAGGGCAAUCAGGUGUCAGUGUUUAAUUAGCUUAGUUUCCUGAGAAGAUCUGUUAGUAGUGAACUACUAGUGAUCAUUGUGUUUCCUCUCCUUUUUUUUAACUUUGUUUUUUUUUGUCUUGAACAGAUCGAUUUAUCUUGGCUAUGAAUCUAGUUGUCAUAAAAAAACUAACAAUAAUAUGAAUAAUCAUUAAUCAAGAGGCCGUUUUUUUUUUGUUUUUGGAAAAAUAACAUUUGUAAAUGUACAUGGAGCUUGUGAGUUAUUUCGCAACGACCAAAAUGACCGGUGUUAGCCCUUGCCGCACACGACAUUCUGCUAGUCUAACGGGGUACCUAGCAAUUAAUUUAGAAGAGAAUUAGAGUCACAUAUAAACACACACACACCACUUCGUCAUGUGGUUGAACCAGCAGUAAACUACUAAUUUCAUUGUCAUGAGAUGGUCCAUCAGAUAUAGCACACUUUCAACAUUUAUAUUCAUAUAUUCUAAGAUGAAUAUACAUAUAGAUCUAAAUAUUCUUAAAUAUGAAUUAUUUUUAGCCUAUGGUAAAAAAUAUUAUAAUUUAUUCACAAAUGUUUAUUAGUUGAGUCUAACUCUCUAGAAGUAGCUAAGGAAAAAAACUAUAGAUUAGCUAUUGUUUCAAUAGCAUUCGAAGCAACUAUAAUUACUCCCACAAAAGUCAUUUCGUUAUAUAUGU
Molecule: long non-coding RNA, 1085 nt
Filed under: Sorghum bicolor (sorghum)
Lineage: Eukaryota; Viridiplantae; Streptophyta; Magnoliopsida; Poales; Poaceae
Description: long non-coding RNA (SBIC_LNC006015)
Source: RNAcentral